UGGGGAAUAUUGGACAAUGGGGGGAACCCUGAUCCAGCCAUGCCGCGUGUGUGAAGAAGGCCUUAUGGUUGUAAAGCACUUUAAGCGAGGAGGAGGGUACUGGUAUUAAUACUACCAGCUACUGGACGUUACUCGCAGAAUAAGCACCGGCUAACUCUGUGCCAGCAGCCGCGGUAAUACAGAGGGUGCGAGCGUUAAUCGGAUUUACUGGGCGUAAAGCGUGCGUAGGCGGCUAAUUGAGUCGGAUGUGAAAUCCCCGAGCUUAACUUGGGAAAUGCAUUCGAUACUGGUUAGCUAGAGUGUGGGAGAGGAUGGUAGAAUUCCAGGUGUAGCGGUGAAAUGCGUAGAGAUCUGGAGGAAUACCGAUGGCGAAGGCAGCCAUCUGGCCUAACACUGACGCUGAGGUACGAAAGCAUGGGGAGCAAACAGG
Molecule: ribosomal RNA, 430 nt
Filed under: Pseudomonadota bacterium
Lineage: Bacteria; Pseudomonadati; Pseudomonadota
Description: Proteobacteria bacterium partial 16S ribosomal RNA
Rfam family: Bacterial small subunit ribosomal RNA
Source: RNAcentral